ACAAAUUAUCCAAUACCAACCACUUGUGCACUGUUGAAGUAUGCUUUGGUAGAGUUCUGGGGUGAUCGUGCUUGCAUGGUCCCUCGAUCUGCCAGAGUUUUUACCAAUACUAAACAAACAAACGUCUUAUCAAUCUGACUGAACUUCAUUUUACAAAUGAAAAUA
Molecule: unclassified non-coding RNA, 165 nt
Filed under: uncultured fungus
Lineage: Eukaryota; Fungi
Description: sequence contains ITS1, 5.8S rRNA gene
Source: RNAcentral